UCGUGGUGCCGAAAAAUGGCGACGCGAAAGAGAAAUCGAGUAGGGCCCUGGGGAGAGUACACGCGCAAGCGAGAAAUUUAAAGGAAAUUGACGGAAGAACACCACAAGGAGUGGAGUGUGCGGCUUAAUUUGACUCAACGCGGGACAACUUACCGGGCCCGACGACCGUAAGAGUGUGACACACGAUAGGUCGAAGAGUGGUGCAUGGCCGUUAACGACGAGUGGAGUGAUCUUUGGGUUAAGUCCGUAAAUUAGUGAGACCUCAGCCGUAAGGGACAGGUGCGCAAAGCACAGGAAGGAUGGGUCAAGGACAGGUCAGUGAUGCCCUUAGAUGGUCCGGGCUGCACGCGCACUACAGUGGUCGCCGAAAUUAGCUGAUAAUUUUAAAGGCGAUCGAGAGGGAAUGAGCUUUGUAAGAGGCUCAGGAACGAGGAAUUGCUAGUAAUCGCGGACUCAUUAAGACGCGAUGAAUACGUCCCUGUUCUUUGUACACACCGCCCGUCGUUAUCGAAGAUGAAGACAGGCGCGAACGAUCUACCAGAAAGUGAGCGCAGGUCUUUAGAUCUGAUACAAGUCGUAACAAGGUAGCUGUAGGUGAACCUGUAGCUGG
This 610-nucleotide ribosomal RNA is filed under the name Loma wallae. RNAcentral describes it as "SSU rRNA". It matches the Rfam family "Microsporidia small subunit ribosomal RNA", at positions 701 to 1304 of the family's 1311-position model. The record is from RNAcentral. Lineage: Eukaryota; Fungi; Microsporidia; Glugeidae.